GAAACCCAAAAGAUCGAAUGGGGAGAUUCAUCGUCAGCUCACUUUGUAUAUAUGCAUAUUGUGAUAUGGGUUACUACUUGUAGUAUUGCCUGUACAUUUUUGUAUAUUUAUUUGCAAAGUGUUGUCGGCGUGCACUUCUCCCCUAGUAGGACGUCGCGACCCGUUGAGUGUCUGUCUACGGCCCAAGUGGUAGAUUUUAAUGAAUUUUAUUUAUUGAAAACCCUUGGUAUCACCUGACUGGCAUUCGUCGGUAUUCGUAUGGUAUUGAGCCGCACAUUAUAUGCGUCCCUAUCCGUCGCAAGCGAGGUUAGUUUACUGAUAGCGCGGACCUAGUGCCGUCGUUAGUACUAAUCAGCUGUUGGUUGUAUGGAAUUCUGGGACUGGCUCGUUGAAAUACCGGUCAGCGACGCUACUGCUUUGGGUACUUUCAGGACCCGUCUUGAAACACGGACCAAA
RNAcentral lists this ribosomal RNA (456 nucleotides) under Amyosoma chinense. RNAcentral describes it as "eukaryotic LSU rRNA". Lineage: Eukaryota; Metazoa; Arthropoda; Insecta; Hymenoptera; Braconidae. The record is from RNAcentral.